ACGAUGUCGAUGUCGACUGUCCAGCGUCGAGUUCGUGUAGCAAAAAAUAAUUUAUUUGUCGACGUUUUUGUGUUUUAAUUAUGUGAAUAAUGAGAUGAAAGUGUAAAUAAAUGUUAGAUUAGUGUUCGCUAGUGAUUAUGGCGCAUAGUGGUGGUGUUUUAAGUUCAGAUAUAUCUAGAAGGAACCCGCAAGAUGAGUAUGAGCUCAUUCAGAGGAUUGGUUCGGGCACUUACGGAGAUGUCUACAAGGCGAAACGCCUCAACGGCAAUGGCGAGCUUGCCGCCAUCAAGGUGAUAAAGUUGGAGCCGGGUGACGACUUCGCCAUCAUCCAGCAGGAGAUACUCAUGAUGAAGGACUGUCGCCACCCCAACAUCGUCGCCUACUACGGCUCCUACCUGCGCAGAGACAAGCUGUGGAUAUCCAUGGAGUACUGUGGUGGAGGCAGCUUGCAGGACAUCUACCAUGUGACCGGUCCGCUGACGGAACUGCAGAUCGCGUACAUGUGCAAAGAGACGCUCAUGGGCCUCUCCUACCUGCACAGUAUGGGCAAAAUGCACAGAGACAUAAAAGGCGCCAACAUCCUUCUAACAGAAUGCGGCGAUGUCAAGUUGGCGGAUUUCGGCGUGUCUGCACAAAUAACAGCCACCAUCAACAAGCGGAAGAGCUUUAUCGGGACGCCUUAUUGGAUGGCGCCUGAGGUAGCAGCGGUAGAAAGGAAAGGUGGUUACAAUCAGCUCUGUGAUAUUUGGGCCUGUGGGAUUACAGCAAUAGAAUUGGCGGAACUCCAACCACCGAUGUUCGAACUCCACCCGAUGAGGGUUCUCUUCCUAAUGUCAAAGUCAGGGUUCAAACCCCCUCAACUGAAGGAGAGGGAGCGAUGGUCGCAGCUCUUUCACGCGUUCCUCAAACUGGCGUUAACCAAGAACCCCAAGAAACGACCCACGGCCGACAAACUGUUACAGCACGCGUUCUUCCAACAAGACAUGAAUAAGCGACUCGCGAUAGAACUUCUGCAAAAGUAUUCCAACCCGCCGAACCAUUGCAACAGUCAAGAGUUGGAUGAGGAUGGGGCGAUAUCAGCUAAUGUACCGCAUCGGAUAGAGUCUCGACAGACGCGCGGACGCAGGGACGCGCGUCCGCGCAGUCUGCUAGACCCGAGAACCACUCCUCGAGAACACCACACCCAUCUUACUGAUCACGGUUUAAGAUUAGCGUCAGACGAAGAUCGUGAAGCCAACCGUCGCUCCGGAGUGUAUGAUGACUCUCCCAUCAUAGAUCUGGACGCGGAGGAUGAGCUCAGUCUGUCGAUGCCUAAAGUUAUCAAUUUCAACGCCGAAGUCAAUAGGAGUUGUGACGGUGAUACUAUUAAACGAAAUAUGUACCACAGACAAUCAAGCGAAGACUGGAGCGUAGCCUCUCUUAUGAGUUGUCCUAAACACAAUCCAUUGACACAGGACCUAUCGACCGAUAGCAUGCCGACUAGCGAAAACAAGUGGUGUCGGGUCGUCACCGGUGAUGAUAUUAUGAGAAUGAGUUUGAGGGCAACAUUACCUUUGACAGCUGAGAACGUAUCAUUGACCCAAGCAUCGAAUUCAGGACUCUCUAUCCACGACCAACAUCUAUCUCAAUGCAUACAACUAAAGCAGAACUUUCUAAAUAAUUCCACCACGAACGUCCACCAAAGCCUCGCUUCUAAUUUCCAAUCACCUUUGACUUCCUCAAUUUCCAUAGACGAUCCUAUAUCGAGAAAACCAGAAAACGAUAUACUGUAUGUAGACGCGUUAGAUACUGAAGUCGUUAACGAUACAGCUAUGAGGAAUGCGAAUUGUGAAUGCGGUCUAUGCCCCAAACCACAGACAAGAGAAAUCAAUACUUUAAGCGAUUUACAAAGAUCAGUAGCACCGAAAUGCUCAUGUGACGCAUGCAAUUCUAACGGUGACAUACUAAGCUAUUAUAGACAUUGUUCAAAUCAAAACUCAGAUUCUGGGAUCGUUUAUUGCGAAACGUGCAAAAAACAAAAGAUAUCGAUAUCAAAUUUCCGAGCGCUACAAAUCACAAAUCGAUUACGGAUAUCGGAUACAGAUAGAAUCGAAAAUGGAGCGAAUUCUGACGACGAUUUGUGUAGAAAAAUCGAUUUGAGUUUGGAUAUGGAGGAUAAAUCGUAUGAGCAUAGGAAAAGGCAUAAUCGGCACAAUUCCGAUUCGGUGACAGCUGGAAUCGAUUUGAAUCAGUUCUGUCAGUGUGAAUUGGAGAGUUUAAAUAAAAGGAAAACAUCGUCUGUUGAUGAGAUUUUCAAGAUGGUGGAGGAAAAUGGGAGGGAUGGGGUAACGGAGUCGAUCGGUGAGGAGGUGAAGACGAGUCAGAGGCAACGGAGCCUGUCGGAUAGUCAGCGGGACAAGGCCAAAGUAGAUGUCGUAGGGGAUGCCAGUAGUACACCGCCGGUGCCGCCGAGGCGAGCGCGCGGGCGUCGAACCCGGACCCCGCCGCGGCCCGCGCCCAACGGACUCCCCCCCACGCCUAAAGUACACAUGGGAGCUUGCUUUUCCAAGGUAUUCAACGGUUGCCCUCUGAGGAUAAACUGCACGGCAUCUUGGAUACAUCCUGACACACGAGAUCAACACAUCCUCAUAGGUGCUGAAGAAGGUAUCUACACAUUGAACCUGAACGAACUCCACGAGACGGCGAUGGACCAGCUGUGUCCGCGACGGACAAUAUGGAUGCACGUUAUCAAAGACGUGCUAAUGUCACUCUCUGGUAAAACCCCCUCCCUCUACCGGCACGAAUUACUCGCGCUUUCGGGUAGCGGGAGGGGAGGGAAAACCGGCGGCGCGCGUUCUCUGAGGGUACUACCUCCCAGAUUACUGCCGCGAAGGUUCGCGCCCACCACCCGAGUACCUGACACUAGAGGUUGUAUGCGUUGCGCGGUGGCACGCAAUCCGUACAACGGGUAUAAGUACCUUUGUGGCGCCACGCCCGCCGGCCUCUUCCUCAUGCAGUGGUACGACCCGCUGAGAAAGUUUAUGUUAUUAAAGAACAUAGAUUGCGUGCUGCCCACACCGCUACUGGCCUUUGAGCUGAUAAUCACUCCGGAAUUGGAGUACCCACUUCUCUGUAUAGGGGUGACGAGGAAACCCCUGAGGCUCAACCUUGUUAACAUAAACUCUGGAGCGACGUGGUUCCAUUCUGACGAGUUGGACCUGUGUCCGGGGGGAUCCAAUACUGUGAUACCGAGACCUGAAAGACUGCACACUUUGAGAGCCGUUCACCAGUUGAAUAAGGACGCUGUGCUAGUUUGCCACGAGAAUGUGGUGGACAUAAUCCCGGUGCUGCCGGGCGGGGAGAGACGGCGCAACAAACUACCUUCGAGAAUACAGUUCGACUUCCACAUAGAUAGUAUACUAUGUCUAGCGGACUCCGUACUAGCGUUCCACAGACACGGCGUUCAGGGCCGCUCGCUACGGAACUCUGAUAUCACGCAAGAGAUCACAGACCACUCGCGAGCAUAUAGGCUGCUUGGACAUGACAAAGUUGUAGUCCUGGAGUCGCAUAUCCUACAAAACAACACGCUUUCAGGCGAAGACGGGAACGAUCUUUAUAUCCUAGCGGGCCACGAAGCUUCUUACUAACUUUACGUAACGUGCGCUUGUAUUUAGCGUACAAAAACACGUGUGCGUUUAACUUUAUCCUGCGAAGAUUGUUCGAUAUCUUAGCGUUUAAUGAGUGAGUGAUGUCCAUUAUAAAUAUGACUAAUAACCGACUGGACUCACGGUAUUAGUCAAAGUAAGCCCGACUAAUUUAAAACCGGCCAAGUGCGAGUCAGACUCGGGCACUGAGGGUUUCGUACUCGGGUAUUUUUUUUCCAACAUUUUGCACGAUAAAUCAAAAACGACUGCGAUAGUAGCUGGACAUAGGUCUCUUGUAGGACCUUUCACACGCCACGUUCUUGCGCCGCCGCUAUCCAGCGGCUCCCAUAGACUUGCGUGAUGUCGUCUGUCCACCUAGUGGGUCUUCCAACACUUGUUUUUUUUUACACGACGACUAUCCGUUGAUGAUGAUGAUUAUUGUACGAGGUCUUUUUAGUCCAUAGGGAUGAUGAAUACUAGUCAAAUCAGAGACUUUGACCAUCAUCAUCAUCAGCCUGUGGACGUCCACUGUUGGACAUAGGCCUUCCCUAUAGAGCGCCACCACA
Molecule: RNA transcript, 4189 nt
Organism: Maniola jurtina (meadow brown)
Lineage: Eukaryota; Metazoa; Arthropoda; Insecta; Lepidoptera; Nymphalidae
Gene: hppy
Gene name: mitogen-activated protein kinase kinase kinase kinase 5
Exons: 23
Source: RefSeq, a predicted model, not a curated record